UUUACAUGCUCACAGUGGAAAUCGGCAGUUCGUUAAAGUUACUGUUGCAAAUUUGUAUACUUUAGCAAUCACCUUUGUAAAGAAGCGUUAGAGUUGUGACAAAGUUGUGUGCGUUGUGUAUGCGAUUUAAAGAUACAAAACGCCGUGCAAGCGCAGUGGACACGCCAUCCAGUAUGAUCCGUGCAAUCCCUUCAUCAAGUUAAAUAGCCUACUUCGUGUAUCCAGAUAUUAGACAAAGUCCAAGAACAUCGACAUGUGUCCCCAGUCCAGAAAUAUUUACAUGGAACCGAAUGAUGAACGAGCCUUCUUAUAACACGUCUGAAAUGUAGCCGGUAAUGACAAGGUGCAUUCUAUAUUAACUAUACGGUGUCUUACCAAUAAAGAAGAAAGACACGACACAUAUGCGCUGUCCUUUUACACUUUAUGUCUGGGUCUAUGUUCAUUUAUUGACCUUGGGCAGUUGCGAUUUCCUAAUUAAUCACAGGCCUGUGUAUAAAAUAUACACUCUUCAGUAUGUACCUUAAUUUUCAAUUGCAUUCGUUUUAAAUGUAACAUCCGGUUAAACAAACAAUAAAUGUUUCAUUAACAAUCACAUUUAGCCCUAGAUUCAUAUUCAUGUCACAGUAUAUUUCUCUUAUCUUAAAAAUGCUGACACCGUUUACUUUACAUUCUUUUAUUUAACUUUGAUACAUUGGAAUCGCUAACAUUAAAUAAUUAGGUUCGUUUUUAAGAACACUAUGUCAUGUAUUUGUUUCAAAACUCGAAACCCAAGCAGAAGAAUCGAGAUAUGCAAUAACCGGUGGGCCUUUCGACUGCAAGGAAUUCAGUUUUGUUAACAACUCUUCUGUAACCAAAACUGUUUUCUUAGAUUCUUGAUCUGUGCAUUUCCGAACAAAACUGAUCUAGUUGUUAAAAAUGGUAAAUGUAAGUAAGAAACGCAUCUAAAUACUCAGGUGAACGUGUGCACAUGCUGGUGUAUAUGUUAAAAAGUUUCAUCACUAUUAAUGUUUUAAUUUUCUGGAUACGAAACCACAAAUUAGCAUCCAGGCGAGUUCUAUGUUCGGUGUUUUAAUGAAGUAUUGUUCUGUCUGAAAUUGCAUUUGUUUCAUUCAUUUUUGUUAAAGUAAUUCAACGUGUUUGUGUUACUCAACGUUUUGUAUGUAAAACUUUUUAUAUUCUAUAGUAAUUUUUCGCCAAAAUAAAGCACUGUUUCAAAUAAGCACGCUUUUAUUUAUCAUCGUAAUUGGUGGAGUUGUUAUUUUAAGCGCAUGUCGUUAAUUCCUUUUUACAUUUAGGUCAACUGAAUUGCAUGACUAGCUUAUCAACAACAUGCGCGAAAUGAUACUUUUGCGCAUGCGAGCAUCGUGAUAUUCUAGAUACAAUUAUGAUUAUAUAUGCUUUUUACAAAAUACCUCAACUGUACAAUGACAAAAACAUGCUCCAUAAUGUGACCGUUUUCUUUGAUUGCAGAUCGUUUAUGUGCAAAAAAGUCAGCUUCACAAAUGUGUUAUAAGGAGAGUUUAAUCAGGCAAUUUAAAUAUCGGGUUUCCAUGUCAUUUUCGGAAUUAUUUUUUAUUACAACCACGUCUGAAUUAUGUAAUGAACUAUUUACAGCAAGUCGGUCGCUAUUUUAAUACAAACCACAUUAUUCCUAAAGUUCAAAUCUGCCAUGGUUACUGCAAUAAAAGGUUUAAAUAAUUAUGUAAAAAUAUUAAAUAAUGCAAGAUAACCAUACCCGAAAUUCCAACACUACUAAACAUUACAAACAUAUAAUCAUGAUCUUUAGGCACAUUGGUUUACGACAAGAACAUACUAAGUCGUUUUUUACAUAAUUAUGCUUUUGUUAUCCAUUAAAUCAUGUGCAUAAAAAUGUAUAAGUUGCACAAAAUAAUUAUUUGUCAAUGUUUGUUUCACUUUUUCAAAGUAUUGCAAAAUGAUUCUAUAUACACGCUGGUAUGUUGCAUUUUCAUUUAAAAGACAGGCAUAACAAAUACUUGCAUGAACCUUUUAUUGCUAUUUUUAACCCGUAAUCACGUUUUGUAUUUUGGGUAUGUCUACUAUUUAACGGUUAAUAUAGGGAUCUUUACUACUAAAACGUUAACAUUACCAUAGCAAAGUUAAAAUGAUGUAAGCAAAAAUGGCUUUGUUAUGUCUGAAUUCGCAAAUCCUAUUUGCUCGUACUAGCAUAGUCCUGUUUUUUUCGCUUGCUUGCUCGGUCAGUUUUAAAAUAAAAGUUAACAGUUUAGUGUGCACAUAAGAUAGUAUUAUUGUUAUGCUAGUUUUUAAUGUCGUAAGGUGGCAUGAAAACCGCCCUUAACAUGGAAAAUAUAGCAAUGUACGUUAAAUGCAUUAAUAAAACUACAACUUAUUUUAAUAUGAAGUUGUUAGCAAUCUAUACAACCGUACUCGGCAUUUUACAUUUUCAAGCAAGCCAUUUAUAUGAUUGUUGCGUUCAGUAUAAUGAAGAUGUUCAUUUGAAAUUAAAUAAAUAUGUCAGCUGAAACGCAUUCGGACGAUCGAUUCCUAUGAUUUAACAUUGAGUAUUAAAGAUUAUCCUUAAUUAGAUUUGCUUCGAUGGCAAAACGCAACAUUGCAUUGCAUCAGCGAUUGUACAUCGGUAAUGUGUGUUUAUUUUACAUUAAACAAGCAAUUGAACAAUAAAUAACUAGUGUAUUGAAUUGGAGAUUUAACUGUUUGAUCUCGAAUUACUGGAUUAUGUUUAGAAAUGAGUGCAUAUUUUACAUUUCCAUUUUGCAUCAAUACAUUGCACUUCGACGGUUUUUCGACCUCUUCAGGUUAAGGCAGUUAUACACGUUAUUAUUUACAAUUAGAAGUUUCCAUUACUAUCUUUAUAUACCCGUGUAGAAAAUGUCAAUGUUACUAGGUGUGAUUAUGUUUCAUGUACAAUGCUUAUGUCCCUUGUCUUGUAUGUGUCCUUUUACAUCUCUUGUGUGAUUCAGUCCAUUGUCCUGUGUGCGUCCAGCCAUGUACUUUGAUGUCAUACUUGUUUUGUCCAGUGAGAAUGAGAAUUAUCAAAUAAACAAGAUUUGUAUUGGUCAGUUAAAAAAAACUAGUAAAAUUCAGUUCAAAUUACUGACCAUGCGUCCAAUUGCUUCUAGGCUGUCGAAAGACAUACUUGUUUCAACAAUAGUACUGUGGUUUUUGUAUCUACCAAACUGGUUAGUUUUAAAUUAUUUGUAUUUUGAAAUUAUGUUUUUAUCUGCAUAGAAAAUGAAUUUAAUUUUUUUGAAAUAUUGUAUUUAUGUUU
This is a long non-coding RNA of Dreissena polymorpha, 3268 nucleotides long. RefSeq lists it as uncharacterized. NCBI's taxonomy places the organism in Eukaryota, Metazoa, Mollusca, Bivalvia, Myida, Dreissenidae. The record is from RefSeq and is a predicted model, not a curated record. The transcript is spliced from 3 exons.